CAUUAUACCGUGAAACUGCGAAUGGCUCAUUAAAUCAGUUAUCGUUUAUUUGAUAGUACCUUACUACUUGGAUAACCGUGGUAAUUCUAGAGCUAAUACAUGCUAAAAACCCCGACUUCGGAAGGGGUGUAUUUAUUAGAUAAAAAACCAAUGCCCUUCGGGGCUCCUUGGUGAUUCAUAAUAACUUCUCAGAUCGCAUGGCCUUGCGCCGGCGACGGUUCAUUCAAAUUUCUGCCCUAUCAACUUUCGAUGGUAAGGUAUUGGCUUACCAUGGUUUCAACGGGUAACGGGGAAUUAGGGUUCGAUUCCGGAGAGGGAGCCUGAGAAACGGCUACCACAUCCAAGGAAGGCAGCAGGCGCGCAAAUUACCCAAUCCCGACACGGGGAGGUAGUGACAAUAAAUACUGAUACAGGGCUCUUUUGGGUCUUGUAAUUGGAAUGAGUACAAUUUAAACCUCUUAACGAGGAACAAUUGGAGGGCAAGUCUGGUGCCAGCAGCCGCGGUAAUUCCAGCUCCAAUAGCGUAUAUUAAAGUUGUUGCAGUUAAAAAGCUCGUAGUUGAACCUUUGGCCUGGCUGGCAGGUCCGCCUCACCGCGUGCACUUGUCCGGCCGGGCCUUCUCUUCUGGAGAACCGCAUGCCCUUCACUGGGUGUGUUGGGGACCAGGACUUUUACUUUGAAAAAAUUAGAGUGUUCAAAGCAGGCCUUUGCUCGAAUACGUUAGCAUGGAAUAAUAGAAUAGGACGUGCGGUCCUAUUUUGUUGGUUUCUAGGACCGCCGUAAUGAUUAAUAGGGACAGUCGGGGGCAUCAGUAUUCAAUUGUCAGAGGUGAAAUUCUUGGAUUUAUUGAAGACUAACUACUGCGAAAGCAUUUGCCAAGGAUGUUUUCAUUAAUCAGUGAACGAAAGUUAGGGGAUCGAAGACGAUCAG
This 930-nucleotide ribosomal RNA is filed under the name Towyspora aestuari. RNAcentral describes it as "SSU rRNA". It matches the Rfam family "Eukaryotic small subunit ribosomal RNA", at positions 72 to 1011 of the family's 1831-position model. Lineage: Eukaryota; Fungi; Ascomycota; Dothideomycetes; Pleosporales; Lentitheciaceae. The record is from RNAcentral.